AUGUGUGCUUGCCUAGAUUGUAAGGUGAUACCAAGAGAAAGUGUUGUCACUCAACAUAAGCUUGUGGUGGCUGACUUCCACUUUCGGAUUCGUGUCCAGCGGAAUAGGCGCACCAAAGACGCUAGAACGAAGUGGUGGAAGCUCAAGGGGGAGGCAGCUCAGGCUUUCAAGGGCAGGGUUAUUAAGGAGGGCCCUUGGGAGGAAGGAGGUGAUGCAGAUAAUAUGUGGAUGAAGAUGGCGACUUGCAUUCCUAAGGUGGCUUCAGAGUUUGGGGUGAACAGGGGAAGUAGAAUCAAAGCUAACGAUACUUGGUGA
This 315-nucleotide ribosomal RNA is filed under the name Triticum aestivum (bread wheat). Its description in RNAcentral is "partial small subunit ribosomal RNA". Lineage: Eukaryota; Viridiplantae; Streptophyta; Magnoliopsida; Poales; Poaceae. The record is from RNAcentral.